Molecule: small RNA, 241 nt
Filed under: Nannospalax galili (Upper Galilee mountains blind mole rat)
Lineage: Eukaryota; Metazoa; Chordata; Mammalia; Rodentia; Spalacidae
Description: 7SK RNA (ENSNGAG00000004796.1)
Rfam family: 7SK RNA (bases 1-177)
About the family: 7SK was discovered as an abundant small nuclear RNA in the mid-70s but a possible function has only recently been suggested. Two independent studies have found that 7SK RNA binds the CDK9/cyclin T complex (known as elongation factor P-TEFb).
Source: RNAcentral
GGAUGUAGGAAGAUCUGGCAUGCAACAUCUAUCACCCCGUUUACUUAUAGGGUUGAAUCAUCUGAUCAGUCUGACUAGGUGUGUCUCCCUGUCCUCACUCAUUGCUCAAAAUGCAUCUCUUCUGAAGUUGCACACUCAGUCAUAAGGGAUGACCUCAACAGAGAAGGACCAUUCGAGUAGCUCCACUCCCUUAUCAGCUCUCAAGAAAUCCUAAAUUCUACUCUGCUUGUAGAACAAAUUU